This 349-nucleotide ribosomal RNA is filed under the name uncultured bacterium. Its description in RNAcentral is "partial 16S ribosomal RNA". It matches the Rfam family "Bacterial small subunit ribosomal RNA", at positions 338 to 704 of the family's 1533-position model. The record is from RNAcentral.
GCUACGGGGGGCAGCAGUGGGGAAUAUUGCACAAUGGGGGAAACCCUGAUGCAGCGACGCCGCGUGAGUGAAGAAGUAUCUCGGUACGUAAAGCUCUAUCAGCAGGGAAGAAAAUGACGGUACCUGACUAAGAAGCCCCGGCUAACUACGUGCCAGCAGCCGCGGUAAUACGUAGGGGGCAAGCGUUAUCAGGAUUUACUUGGUGUAAGGGGAGAGUAGACGGCAGCACAAGUCUGGAGUGAAAUCGCGGGGAUUAACCCCGGAACUGCUUUGGAAACUGUGCGGAUGGAGUGCAGGAGGGGUAAGCGGAAUUCCUAGUGUAGCGGUGAUAUGCGUAGAUAUUAGGAGG